This 740-nucleotide long non-coding RNA is filed under the name Rattus norvegicus (Norway rat). RNAcentral describes it as "long non-coding RNA NONRATT028958". The record is from RNAcentral. Lineage: Eukaryota; Metazoa; Chordata; Mammalia; Rodentia; Muridae.
UUAUUAAUGGUAUUCACAGUUGCAAACCAUUGUGCUUUCUUCUUCUCCAGUAAUUGUCUUGUGUUCUCAGUUUCUCCCUUUUUUGUAAUUGAUGACCUUUAUGAUAAUUUUAUGUAUUUAUUGUCUUUGAAAGUCAAUCCAGGUCUUCUAAAACCUGUGGCUUGUUUCUUGCUCUUCAGCCUAACAUUAUUUUGUUUGUUUUUUGUUUUUCAAGAUAGGGUUUUGCUGUGUAGCCUUGGCUGUCCUGGAACUCACUCUAUAGAACAGGCUGGCCUCAAACCCAGAGAGUAACAUGGCUAUUUUUGUUUAAAACAACUUCCCAUAAUAUUUUCUUUUCUUUGUGAACCAACUGCUUAAGCAGAAUGUGCUGUAAUUAACUCUGUCGUGGCUAACCUAUCAUUUAGGAGAUCUCUAGGUAUGUCUUCGAAGGCAUUGUACAGAGAAGUAAUUUAGCUGAGGAUGGAAAAUUCACCAAAGCACCUUUUCACAGUCUACAAAGUUAAAGAGGAGGCAGAUAGCUGAGUGCUGCAUGCAUCUUUCUUGCCUUACUUUAGAGAAAGUGUGUGAUCAGCUGCCCUGUGCCUGCUACAGUGGACCUGUCUCUUAAAGCCAUGAGCUAAAAUAAAUCCUCCCUUAAUCUUCCCUUUGUCAGGAUACUUUUAAAUUUUAAAAUCCCUAGUAUAAAAGAGACAUUAAUAUUUAUAUGUCAGAAAUUGAGUUUGAUGUCAGACCUUAAUUUU